CUUAUGGAGAGUUUGAUCCUGGCUCAGAACGAACGCUGGCGGCGCGCUUAAUACAUGCAAGUCGUGCGAGAAAGCACCCUUCGGGGUGUCAGUACAGCGGCGAACGGGUGAGUAACACGUAAGCAACCUGUCUCCAAGUUCGGGAUAGCCCUGCCAACGCGGGGAUAAUACCGGAUGUGGUCACGAGAUCGCAUGGUUUCGUGAUUAAAGGUGACCUCUACACGUACGUUACUGUUUGGAGAGGGGCUUGCGGACCAUUAGCUUGUUGGUGAGGUAACGGCUCACCAAGGCAGUGAUGGUUAGCCGACCUGAGAGGGUGAUCGGCCACAUUGGGACUGAGAUACGGCCCAGACUCCUACGGGAGGCAGCAGUAGGGAAUUUUGCGCAAUGGACGAAAGUCUGACGCAGCGACGCCGCGUGAGCGAUGAAGGUCUUCGGAUUGUAAAGCUCUGUUGAGUGGGAAGAAAAAACCCGGAAGUAAUAUUUUCGGGCCUUGACGGUACCACUCGAGGAAGCCCCGGCUAACUACGUGCCAGCAGCCGCGGUAAUACGUAGGGGGCUAGCGUUGUUCGGAAUCACUGGGCGUAAAGGGAGUGUAGGCGGGAAGAUAAGUUAGGAGUUAAAGACACAGGCUUAACCUGUGGCCUGCUUUUAAUACUGUCUUUCUUGAGUAUGGGAGAGGGUGAUGGAAUUCCAGGUGUAGCGGUGGAAUGCGUAGAUAUCUGGAAGAACACCAGUUGCGAAGGCGGUC
RNAcentral lists this ribosomal RNA (751 nucleotides) under Chitinivibrionales bacterium. Its description in RNAcentral is "bacterial SSU rRNA". It matches the Rfam family "Bacterial small subunit ribosomal RNA", at positions 1 to 726 of the family's 1533-position model. The record is from RNAcentral. Lineage: Bacteria; Pseudomonadati; Fibrobacterota; Chitinivibrionia; Chitinivibrionales.